This 440-nucleotide ribosomal RNA is filed under the name uncultured bacterium. RNAcentral's name for it is "partial 16S ribosomal RNA". It matches the Rfam family "Bacterial small subunit ribosomal RNA", at positions 338 to 795 of the family's 1533-position model. The record is from RNAcentral.
CCUACGGGAGGCAGCAGUGGGGAAUAUUGCACAAUGGGGGCAACCCUGAUGCAGCGACGCCGCGUGAGUGAAGAAGUAUUUCGGUAUGUAAAGCUCUAUCAGCAGGGAAGCAAAUGACGGUACCUGAUUAAGAAGCCCCGGCUAACUACGUGCCAGCAGCCGCGGUAAUACGUAGGGGGCAAGCGUUAUCCGGAUUUACUUGGGGGAAAGGGAGCGUAGACGGCAGCACAAGUCUGGAGGGAAAUGCCGGGGCUUAACCCCGGAACUGCUUUGGAAACUGUGCAGCUAGAGUGCAGGAGAGGUAAGUGGAAUUCCUAGUGUAGCGGUGAAAUGCGUAGAUAUUAGGAGGAACACCAGUGGCGAAGGCGGCUUACUGGACUGUAACUGACGUUGAGGCUCGAAAGCGUGGGGAGCAAACAGGAUUAGAUACCCCAGUAGUC